This 330-nucleotide ribosomal RNA is filed under the name uncultured eukaryote. RNAcentral's name for it is "partial 18S ribosomal RNA". It matches the Rfam family "Eukaryotic small subunit ribosomal RNA", at positions 1470 to 1796 of the family's 1831-position model. The record is from RNAcentral.
CCCUUAGAUGUCCGGGGCUGCACGCGCGCUACACUGAAUGAAUCAGCGUGCUAGAAAACCUUGUUUGACAUGGCUAGGUAACCCAUUGAAAAUCAUUCGUGAUUGGGAUCGGGACUUGCAAAUGUGUCCCUUGAACGAGGAAUUCCCAGUAAGUGCGGGUCAUCAACUUGCAUUGAUUACGUCCCUGCCCUUUGUACACACCGCCCGUCGCUCCUACCGAUUGAACGAUCCGGUGAAAACUCAGGACUGAUGACUGACCAGCGGUUCGCCGUUGCCAGUUUCGGGAAUUUGUUUGAACCUUAUCGUUUAGAGGAAGGAGAAGUCGUAACA